Molecule: ribosomal RNA, 2904 nt
Filed under: Escherichia coli DEC13A
Lineage: Bacteria; Pseudomonadati; Pseudomonadota; Gammaproteobacteria; Enterobacterales; Enterobacteriaceae
Also listed under: 2 other names
Description: bacterial LSU rRNA
Rfam family: Bacterial large subunit ribosomal RNA
Source: RNAcentral
UUAAGCGACUAAGCGUACACGGUGGAUGCCCUGGCAGUCAGAGGCGAUGAAGGACGUGCUAAUCUGCGAUAAGCGUCGGUAAGGUGAUAUGAACCGUUAUAACCGGCGAUUUCCGAAUGGGGAAACCCAGUGUGAUUCGUCACACUAUCAUUAACUGAAUCCAUAGGUUAAUGAGGCGAACCGGGGGAACUGAAACAUCUAAGUACCCCGAGGAAAAGAAAUCAACCGAGAUUCCCCCAGUAGCGGCGAGCGAACGGGGAGCAGCCCAGAGCCUGAAUCAGUGUGUGUGUUAGUGGAAGCGUCUGGAAAGGCGCGCGAUACAGGGUGACAGCCCCGUACACAAAAAUGCACAUACUGUGAGCUCGAUGAGUAGGGCGGGACACGUGGUAUCCUGUCUGAAUAUGGGGGGACCAUCCUCCAAGGCUAAAUACUCCUGACUGACCGAUAGUGAACCAGUACCGUGAGGGAAAGGCGAAAAGAACCCCGGCGAGGGGAGUGAAAAAGAACCUGAAACCGUGUACGUACAAGCAGUGGGAGCACAGAGCAAUCUGUGUGACUGCGUACCUUUUGUAUAAUGGGUCAGCGACUUAUAUUCUGUAGCAAGGUUAACCGAAUAGGGGAGCCGAAGGGAAACCGAGUCUUAACUGGGCGUUAAGUUGCAGGGUAUAGACCCGAAACCCGGUGAUCUAGCCAUGGGCAGGUUGAAGGUUGGGUAACACUAACUGGAGGACCGAACCGACUAAUGUUGAAAAAUUAGCGGAUGACUUGUGGCUGGGGGUGAAAGGCCAAUCAAACCGGGAGAUAGCUGGUUCUCCCCGAAAGCUAUUUAGGUAGCGCCUCGUGAAUUCAUCUCCGGGGGUAGAGCACUGUUUCGGCAAGGGGGUCAUCCCGACUUACCAACCCGAUGCAAACUGCGAAUACCGGAGAAUGUUAUCACGGGAGACACACGGCGGGUGCUAACGUCCGUCGUGAAGAGGGAAACAACCCAGACCGCCAGCUAAGGUCCCAAAGUCAUGGUUAAGUGGGAAACGAUGUGGGAAGGCCCAGACAGCCAGGAUGUUGGCUUAGAAGCAGCCAUCAUUUAAAGAAAGCGUAAUAGCUCACUGGUCGAGUCGGCCUGCGCGGAAGAUGUAACGGGGCUAAACCAUGCACCGAAGCUGCGGCAGCGACGCUUAUGCGUUGUUGGGUAGGGGAGCGUUCUGUAAGCCUGUGAAGGUGUACUGUGAGGUAUGCUGGAGGUAUCAGAAGUGCGAAUGCUGACAUAAGUAACGAUAAAGCGGGUGAAAAGCCCGCUCGCCGGAAGACCAAGGGUUCCUGUCCAACGUUAAUCGGGGCAGGGUGAGUCGACCCCUAAGGCGAGGCCGAAAGGCGUAGUCGAUGGGAAACAGGUUAAUAUUCCUGUACUUGGUGUUACUGCGAAGGGGGGACGGAGAAGGCUAUGUUGGCCGGGCGACGGUUGUCCCGGUUUAAGCGUGUAGGCUGGUUUUCCAGGCAAAUCCGGAAAAUCAAGGCUGAGGCGUGAUGACGAGGCACUACGGUGCUGAAGCAACAAAUGCCCUGCUUCCAGGAAAAGCCUCUAAGCAUCAGGUAACAUCAAAUCGUACCCCAAACCGACACAGGUGGUCAGGUAGAGAAUACCAAGGCGCUUGAGAGAACUCGGGUGAAGGAACUAGGCAAAAUGGUGCCGUAACUUCGGGAGAAGGCACGCUGAUAUGUAGGUGAAGUCCCUCGCGGAUGGAGCUGAAAUCAGUCGAAGAUACCAGCUGGCUGCAACUGUUUAUUAAAAACACAGCACUGUGCAAACACGAAAGUGGACGUAUACGGUGUGACGCCUGCCCGGUGCCGGAAGGUUAAUUGAUGGGGUUAGCGCAAGCGAAGCUCUUGAUCGAAGCCCCGGUAAACGGCGGCCGUAACUAUAACGGUCCUAAGGUAGCGAAAUUCCUUGUCGGGUAAGUUCCGACCUGCACGAAUGGCGUAAUGAUGGCCAGGCUGUCUCCACCCGAGACUCAGUGAAAUUGAACUCGCUGUGAAGAUGCAGUGUACCCGCGGCAAGACGGAAAGACCCCGUGAACCUUUACUAUAGCUUGACACUGAACAUUGAGCCUUGAUGUGUAGGAUAGGUGGGAGGCUUUGAAGUGUGGACGCCAGUCUGCAUGGAGCCGACCUUGAAAUACCACCCUUUAAUGUUUGAUGUUCUAACGUGGACCCGUAAUCCGGGUUGCGGACAGUGUCUGGUGGGUAGUUUGACUGGGGCGGUCUCCUCCUAAAGAGUAACGGAGGAGCACGAAGGUUGGCUAAUCCUGGUCGGACAUCAGGAGGUUAGUGCAAUGGCAUAAGCCAGCUUGACUGCGAGCGUGACGGCGCGAGCAGGUGCGAAAGCAGGUCAUAGUGAUCCGGUGGUUCUGAAUGGAAGGGCCAUCGCUCAACGGAUAAAAGGUACUCCGGGGAUAACAGGCUGAUACCGCCCAAGAGUUCAUAUCGACGGCGGUGUUUGGCACCUCGAUGUCGGCUCAUCACAUCCUGGGGCUGAAGUAGGUCCCAAGGGUAUGGCUGUUCGCCAUUUAAAGUGGUACGCGAGCUGGGUUUAGAACGUCGUGAGACAGUUCGGUCCCUAUCUGCCGUGGGCGCUGGAGAAUUGAGGGGGGCUGCUCCUAGUACGAGAGGACCGGAGUGGACGCAUCACUGGUGUUCGGGUUGUCAUGCCAAUGGCACUGCCCGGUAGCUAAAUGCGGAAGAGAUAAGUGCUGAAAGCAUCUAAGCACGAAACUUGCCCCGAGAUGAGUUCUCCCUGACUCCUUGAGAGUCCUGAAGGAACGUUGAAGACGACGACGUUGAUAGGCCGGGUGUGUAAGCGCAGCGAUGCGUUGAGCUAACCGGUACUAAUGAACCGUGAGGCUUAACCUU